RNAcentral lists this microRNA precursor (109 nucleotides) under Camelina sativa (false flax). RNAcentral's name for it is "miR397 stem-loop (cas-MIR397)". Its record names the gene cas-MIR397. It matches the Rfam family "MIR397 microRNA precursor family". The record is from miRBase by way of RNAcentral. Lineage: Eukaryota; Viridiplantae; Streptophyta; Magnoliopsida; Brassicales; Brassicaceae.
AACAUCAUUGAGUGCAGCGUUGAUGUGAUUUCGUUUUUUCAUUCUUUCAUUCUAUUAUUGAAUGGAUUGGAUUAAAGCAAUUUACACCAGCGUUGCGCUCAAUUAUGUU